Molecule: ribosomal RNA, 467 nt
Filed under: uncultured bacterium
Lineage: Bacteria
Description: partial 16S ribosomal RNA
Rfam family: Bacterial small subunit ribosomal RNA
Source: RNAcentral
GACGAACGCUGGCGGCGUGCUUAACACAUGCAAGUCGAACGGAAAGGCCCGGCUUUUGUUGGGUGCUCGAGUGGCGAACGGGUGUGUAACACGUGAGUAACCUGCCCUUGACUGUGGGAUAACUUCAGGAAACUGGGGCUAUCCCGUAUAGGAGCUCCUUCUGCAUGGGGGGGGUUGGGAAGUUUCGGCGUUUGGGGCUGGUCUGGCGGCUUAUCAGCUUGUUGGUGGGGUAGCGGCUUACCAAGGCUUUGAAUGGCAGGCGGCCCGAGAGGGCGACCGGCGACCUGACGCCUGCGGGAGGGACCAGAGUCCAACGGGAGGCAGCGGGCGGGAACAUUGCCCAGCGAGCGGACGCCUGAUGUGGAGACGCCGCGUGCGGGAUGAAGGCCUUCCGGUAGUAAACCGCUUUCGCCUGUGACGAAGCGUGAGUGACGGUAAUGGGUAAAGAAGCACCGGCUAACUACGUG